CCUACGGGCGACAGCAGUGAGGAAUAUUGGUCAAUGGACGAGAGUCUGAACCAGCCAAGUAGCGUGAAGGAUGACUGCCCUAUGGGUUGUAAACUUCUUUUAUACAGGAAUAAAACGAGGCACGUGUGCCUUUUUGCAUGUACUUUAUGAAUAAGGAUCGGCUAACUCCGUGCCAGCAGCCGCGGUAAUACGGAGGAUCCGAGCGUUAUCCGGAUUUAUUGGGUUUAAAGGGAGCGUAGAUGGGUUGUUAAGUCAGUUGUGAAAGUUUGCGGCUCAACCGUAAAAUUGCAAUUGUUACUGGCAGGCUUGAGUACAGGUGAGGUAGGCGGAAUUCGUGGUGGAGCGGUGAAAUGCUUAGAGAUCACGAAGAACCCCGAUUGCGAAGGCAGCUUACGAAAGUGUGACUGACAUUGAUGCUCGAAAGUGUGGGUAUCAAACAGGAUUAGAUACCCUAGUAGUC
This 460-nucleotide ribosomal RNA is filed under the name uncultured bacterium. Its description in RNAcentral is "partial 16S ribosomal RNA". It matches the Rfam family "Bacterial small subunit ribosomal RNA", at positions 338 to 795 of the family's 1533-position model. The record is from RNAcentral.